GCUGUCCUCGUCUCGGAUGAACUAUUCCUUCACAGGAAUUCGACGCACUCUCAGCACUUCCACAGCCAUCGCCACGAAGAGAGAACCGAGCCGCAAAAGUCAAGCAAGCAGAGGAGCAUCUUGGUGGCAGGGAUUUAAAACUUUAACAAGACUCAAAUUGACACAGGCAGAGUGAAUGACUGGAUUUUUUCGACCAGGUAGGGUAAGUGAUUUCAAAACAUUUCAUCCGGUUUAUAUCGCGUAUAUGUUAUUUAUCUCGUAUAAGAUGCAUUUGGUUGAGUUACGCUGCAGUAAAGCACUUCAUUGUACGGUGAUUCGCUUUUCUGUGCGCAGCGCGAGCAGGACAAACAACAAUGC
Sinocyclocheilus anshuiensis is the source of this 357-nucleotide long non-coding RNA. RefSeq lists it as uncharacterized. The record is from RefSeq and is a predicted model, not a curated record. The transcript is spliced from 3 exons. NCBI's taxonomy places the organism in Eukaryota, Metazoa, Chordata, Actinopteri, Cypriniformes, Cyprinidae.